Long non-coding RNA from Xenopus laevis (African clawed frog), 1546 nucleotides. RefSeq lists it as uncharacterized. NCBI's taxonomy places the organism in Eukaryota, Metazoa, Chordata, Amphibia, Anura, Pipidae. The record is from RefSeq and is a predicted model, not a curated record. The transcript has 2 exons.
UCAAAAUGAAAUAUAAAAAAGUUUGCUUUUUUAUUUCUUUUUUUGUAAGUCUUUAUUUUGCUUUUCAUAUUAAUAGGGGGAUUCAUCCAAAUGUCAUAUGUAUAUUAACACUCUUGUAUUCAGUAGUUCCACAUACAUUACUGCUAUGAACUUCUAACUUUCUUAUCAUUAAUUAAGCUAUGUUUUUUUGUCUUUCGCUUUUAUUAACAUUGUAUUGCUACUGAACAGAAUAUAGUAAUAACAGUAAAAGUGGGAUUGGUUAGAAAUUGGAAAGUGGGGUUAAGGCAAGGGUGUAGGGUAGUAAGGGAGUAGUGAAUUGUAUAGGUAUGGAAGCAGCUUUUUCUUUGUCUUUGUUGACUACUGUGUGUCUCUUCUGUUCAUGGAAAUUAAGUGUGUGGUUCAUCUGGGCUCUGAGUUAGUGUGCUGUAUCCAAUCUUCCCAUACUAUUCGGAAUGCUUUAGUUGUCCCAUUUUUUAUUGCUGUUCAUUCUCCCAUUAUCUUUGUAUUUUCUAAUUCUCUUAUCCAUUCAAUUUUACUCAGUGCUUCCUGACUUCUCCCGCGUUUUGGAAUCACCGCUCUUGCUGCUUGUAGCAUAUGAAUUAUGAGUUUAUACUUUUUGUGUGUUGUUAUCUAGACUGAAUAGUACUGUCUCUAUACUUUUUGGUGAACUUCUUAGGUCUUAGCUCUUCAAUUGUAUCAAACACUUCUCUCUUCACGCAGGAACCAGAUUUGACUGAAUGAUCCUUCUACCUUGUUGCAUCUCCAACACUUCUCUGAUACAUUUUCAUAUAUUUUGUGUACAUUUUGCGGAGUUCUGUACCAUCUGCUUAUUAGUUUGUAAUUUGUUUCCUGUGCUCUCGUUGAUUUUGUACCUUUAUGCACAUGGGCUAAGCCUUCCCAAACCAGCACAGUAAAUGUCCUUAAAACGGGGGGAUUUGAAAGACUGAUUUUAGCAAUACCUUGCUAUAGAACGCAGUAACUUUGUUUCACUUGCAGCUCCCGUAGUCUCACACAGGCUGAGAGAUCAGCUGACUGGGGAACGGGAGGGGAGUGGGCGGGACCUGCACAGCUCAGAGCUGAUCUCUCUGGAAGAAACGCUGUAUGCUAAAUGGAAGCUCAGGUUUAGCCAUGUGCAGCAUCUCCAGGACUACAUCUCAACCACCUAUAAUGAGACAAAGUGUUCAUUAGCACCAUGUUCAUUAAUAAUAUGUGCAGCAGUCUUCUGGUUGUCUUGCCUACAUAUUGCUUGCCACACUGACAAGUGACAUCAGCGAGCGACUUGGAUGUGAGCCAAGGAGAAGAACAGGAGGAGAUGGAUUACCACACAAACAGGAGGAAGAAGGAAAGAGAAGAAAUACAGGCACGAGGGGAGGAGGUUCUAUGCAGAAAAAGGGAAACAAGGUCAAAGAAAGGAAGAGAGAAGGGCAUAGUAAAGUACAGAUAGAUCCCAGUGGGAAGGAAAUUGAUGAUCUGGUAAUCAAUUUAUCUGACUAUACUCUGACUGAUGGAGAGAAAGCAUUAUUUAAUAAAGGCUUAUCUUUUUGCC